Molecule: ribosomal RNA, 544 nt
Filed under: Aspergillus ustus
Lineage: Eukaryota; Fungi; Ascomycota; Eurotiomycetes; Eurotiales; Aspergillaceae
Description: eukaryotic LSU rRNA
Rfam family: 5.8S ribosomal RNA (bases 159-312)
Source: RNAcentral
AGGAUACGGUGCAGUCUGCCCCGGGCAGGCCUAACCUCCCACCCGUGAAUACCUGACCAACGUUGCUUCGGCGGUGCGCCCCCCCGGGGGUAGCCGCCGGAGACCACAUUGAACCUCUUGUCUUUAGUGUUGUCUGAGCUUGAUAGCAAACCUAUUAAAACUUUCAACAAUGGAUCUCUUGGUUCCGGCAUCGAUGAAGAACGCAGCGAACUGCGAUAAGUAAUGUGAAUUGCAGAAUUCAGUGAAUCAUCGAGUCUUUGAACGCACAUUGCGCCCCCUGGCAUUCCGGGGGGCAUGCCUGUCCGAGCGUCAUUGCUGCCCUUCAAGCCCGGCUUGUGUGUUGGGUCGUCGUCCCCCCCGGGGGACGGGCCCGAAAGGCAGCGGCGGCACCGCGUCCGGUCCUCGAGCGUAUGGGGCUUUGUCACCCGCUCGAUUAGGGCCGGCCGGGCGCCAGCCGGCGUCUCCAACCUUCUAUUUUACCAGGUUGACCUCGGAUCAGGUAGGGAUACCCGCUGAACUUAAGCAUAUCAAUAAGCCGGAGGAA